GUUCUCAACGCCGCGUCGAUGUCCGAUUAGCCUUUGAGCGUCGACCGUCGGUAUUUCAGUUCGUACUCGGCGUAGAAGCGUCGGUUUUCGACGGGACAUGGUUCGUUGGAUUCGGGACUUCGAGAGGAAUCCACGAAGCCCUUACUUGCUGGAUUUGGUAAAGGUUUGCUAGAGUUUGGCGGGAGCUUGACUUCAGGCCUUGGGAGGUUUUCGGACGUUUCGGCAGGUUGUUCCGCAGCCGAGGGGAGUUCCGUGCUGCCAGGGAUUAGCGAGCGAGGUGGGUUAAUCAUCGGUUUAUACUCCUAAGUGCUUAGUA
Long non-coding RNA from Ananas comosus (pineapple), 316 nucleotides. RefSeq lists it as uncharacterized. The record is from RefSeq and is a predicted model, not a curated record. NCBI's taxonomy places the organism in Eukaryota, Viridiplantae, Streptophyta, Magnoliopsida, Poales, Bromeliaceae. The transcript is spliced from 3 exons.